This 187-nucleotide ribosomal RNA is filed under the name Pseudo-nitzschia pungens. RNAcentral's name for it is "partial Bacterial large subunit ribosomal RNA". It matches the Rfam family "Bacterial large subunit ribosomal RNA", at positions 2244 to 2430 of the family's 2925-position model. Lineage: Eukaryota; Bacillariophyta; Bacillariophyceae; Bacillariales; Bacillariaceae. The record is from RNAcentral.
AUCAAGGAAAGUGCAUGGUAGGCAGUUUGACUGGGGCGGUCUCCUCCUAAAGAGUAACGGAGGAGUACGAAGGUGCGCUCAGCGUGGUCGGAAAUCACGCGUAGAGUAUAAAGGCAAAAGCGCGCUUAACUGCGAGACCCACAAGUCGAGCAGGUACGAAAGUAGGUCUUAGUGAUCCGGUGGUUCU